GAUCAUGGCUCAGGAUUAACGCUGGCGGCGUGCAUAACACAUUCAAGUCGAACGGAGAGAUAUAGCCAUUGGGUAGUAUUGAUCAGUGGCGGACGGGUGAGUAACGCGUGAGUAACCUGCCUGUGAGAGGGGAAUAACAGCUGGAAACGGGUGCUAAUACCGCAUAAAAGCAUAAUAAUCGCAUGAUUGAUAUGCCAAAGAGAGAUCGCUCACAGAUGG
RNAcentral lists this ribosomal RNA (219 nucleotides) under uncultured bacterium. RNAcentral's name for it is "partial 16S ribosomal RNA". It matches the Rfam family "Bacterial small subunit ribosomal RNA", at positions 15 to 228 of the family's 1533-position model. The record is from RNAcentral.